RNAcentral lists this ribosomal RNA (456 nucleotides) under Triticum aestivum (bread wheat). RNAcentral's name for it is "partial small subunit ribosomal RNA". Lineage: Eukaryota; Viridiplantae; Streptophyta; Magnoliopsida; Poales; Poaceae. The record is from RNAcentral.
AUGUCUAAUACAGCUACACUGAGCGGUCGGGUCAGAGCCCCAUCCGGAGCUUUGAACAUCCUCAGCUGGAACUGUCGAGGGGGAGGGAGCCCAACGACAGUUCGUGACCUGAAGUGUUUGGUGCAGACUCACUCUCCCAAGAUCGUUUUUCUUUGUGAAACUAGACAAUCUAAAGUGAAGAUGAAAAGAUAUCGAGCUCGGUUAGGCCUUAGUGGUUUCGAUGCAGUCGAUAGUGUUGGUCACAGUGGUGGUUUAGCUAUCUUUUGGCAUGAGUCAUUGCAUCUCGAAAUUAAAUCCAUGUGUGAGAGACAUAUCGAUGUGUAUGUGAGAGAAUCUGCUGAUGCAACACCCUGGAGGCUGACUUGUGUGUACGGCGAACCUCGGACAGAGAACCGUCACCUUAUGUGGAAGCUCAUGCGCGAUUUACACCUGCAAGAGAACAUGCCAUGGCGGUGA